ACGAACGCUGGCGGCGUGCUUAACACAUGCAAGUCGAACGAAGAGCGAUGGAAGCUUGCUUCUAUCAAUCUUAGUGGCGAACGGGUGAGUAACGCGUAAUCAACCUGCCCUUCAGAGGGGGACAACAGUUGGAAACGACUGCUAAUACCGCAUACGAUCCAAUCUCGGCAUCGGGACUGGAUGAAGGGUGGCCUCUAUUUAUAAGCUAUCACUGAAGGAGGGGAUUGCGUCUGAUUAGCUAGUUGGAGGGGUAACGGCCCACCAAGGCGAUGAUCAGUAGCCGGUCUGAGAGGAUGAACGGCCACAUUGGGACUGAGACACGGCCCAGACUCCUACGGGAGGCAGCAGUGGGGAAUCUUCCGCAAUGGACGAAAGUCUGACGGAGCAACGCCGCGUGAGUGAUGACGGCCUUCGGGUUGUAAAGCUCUGUUAAUCGGGACGAAUGGUUCUUGUGCGAAUAGUGCGAGGAUUUGACGGUACCGGAAUAGAAAGCCACGGCUAACUACGUG
Molecule: ribosomal RNA, 509 nt
Filed under: uncultured bacterium
Lineage: Bacteria
Description: partial 16S ribosomal RNA
Rfam family: Bacterial small subunit ribosomal RNA
Source: RNAcentral